This 372-nucleotide long non-coding RNA is filed under the name Salmo salar (Atlantic salmon). RNAcentral describes it as "lncRNA (ENSSSAG00000109229.1)". The record is from RNAcentral. Lineage: Eukaryota; Metazoa; Chordata; Actinopteri; Salmoniformes; Salmonidae.
CACUCUACUCCAUUACCAUUGUCAGCACUCUCCUGAUGAACUGAAGCCACGUCUCAUGUGCCCACUCAUACACUGGCACAUUGAAUGUUUCCUCUCCAAGCACUUCAAAUCCUGUCCAGCCCUCAGUGGAAGAGCUGAGCUCUUCUCCAUCACCAUCCAUCCAUGAUGAGCCUGUCCUGCACUGAAGCCUCUGAACACCUCAACUCAUGCCUCAUACCCUCAUUCAAUCACUGCUGUGAUCCCUUCCCAACACUGGUGAACAACGCUCGACAGAUCAACAGACACAAAUAAACUGAGAAUGUGAAGAAGCACUGGAACACAUGAGUGAGCUAACACUACAAGACAGAGAGAUUCACAAACAUGCAUUUUGAA